RNAcentral lists this transfer RNA (94 nucleotides) under Nitrospirota bacterium. RNAcentral describes it as "tRNA-OTHER". The record is from RNAcentral. Lineage: Bacteria; Pseudomonadati; Nitrospirota.
GGAGGUUCUAAAUCGGAAGAAUUGGGUUUAUUUGAACUUGAAAACCAGAGUCGGGGUAACUCGACCGUGGGUUCGACUCCCACCCCCUCCGCCA